UCCAGCUCUGUCAGGUAGUGUAGGGACUCCAGAAUUGAGGCCACAAGACCCCAGGAAUCACAACUGAAAUUACAGCCAACGAGUCUGCAAGACAAUGUACUGUAUUAUAAAAGAGAAUUUCACAUACAUAUACACAGAUAAUAACUAGAAAGUUCAAUAGAAGUUAGACCUUUGUGGCCUUAUCAGACUUUAAUCUCAAUGUUGUUACCAUCAAACUGAUGGUAGAAAUAACUGAUAUUGUAUGUAUUGUGACUUUUGUCACUUUCUGGUGCUAAUAUAUUAUAUUGGAAAUAUAAAUGGAUAGAGAACAGACCUUAACAGGUGCUCUACCAGUUUACAAAAAUCUUGCUUGUCAGUUUAGAUUUUAUAUGACAUAUAACCAAAGUGGAUAGGGACUAGAUCAAUUGUAACCCCCUGUCAGCUAGUGGUGAAUGUAAAUGACUAAGCACAAGACUUGUUUUGUCGUUGUCUACAAGUUCAAAUACUAGGUGAGUGCAGACAUGUGUAUACUCUGCUUGUCACACACACCCACACACACAUUUUAGCAAAGGUGCUGUUGCAUAGAUGAUUGCACAUGCAGCAGUUCCUUCUACAGAGAUGCAUUCACCCGUCAUCUUAAGCAUUGUUGUACAUGCCUUUAAUAGGAAUAGCAGAUGCCACUAUUCAUUGGUUUAUUGGAUGUUUUGCUCAAAACACACCCAUGCUUAAUUAAGAAACGUAAGAAAAAAACUCUUUUGAACCAUAUGCCUAGCGUCUGAUCACUUAUUCCCUCAUCAAACUAGCAUGUGGCUUGGACUCUCAGACCAUCUGUUUUAGAUCAUUAAAAUUGGGUCCUUAGUGUUAGAUUUCUUUAUAUGGAAAGUUAAUUUCACUCAGAUUUGGUUCAGGAAUUCAGUCAACUCCAUUUAGCAUUUCUCCUCACAGGCAACAUUUCCCCCAAAACUUGUGACAUCAGUGGCAUUGUGUUCUGUGAUAAACCAGCAUAUUUCUUAGUGGCCUUUUACUGUCACCAUGGCAAAGUGGCUAUCUGUUCAGAACUAUUCCCUUGAUUAGGAGAAGGACCAUUUUAAAAUCACAUGACACAGUGGAUGAACACACACACAGAUCAUUGGAUUACAUGUUUACAGUGAGAACUGCAUAGCCCUGCGGAAAGCAGCUGAACUCCAGAAUCUCCCAAGCCAUUGUUACUGAGAUCAAGCUUAACCAGG
Molecule: long non-coding RNA, 1208 nt
Organism: Alosa alosa (allis shad)
Lineage: Eukaryota; Metazoa; Chordata; Actinopteri; Clupeiformes; Clupeidae
Exons: 3
Source: RefSeq, a predicted model, not a curated record